UCCAAAGAAGAAGAAAAAACGAGUGGAAGCAGAGUGUGGGGGGAACAAUGGCCGUCGCCGGAGGAGAUCGCCGCGGCCUCCGCCGCGUCGACACCGUCACCGUCGCCAACGCUUCUCCUUCCGAUUCCCUCGAGAGAAGCAGCAACCUGUCUACGGUCCCUGCCGUCUCCAAGCUCCAAGGCUGGGCAGAACUCCCGGAUGCCCUGCUUCACUCCAUUGUUGAUCUGUUGGGAUCCUUCACUGACUUUCUUUCCUUCGCUUCCACCUGACACCCUUGGCGUGCUGCCUUCUCCUCGGGUCUGAUCAGUGGCGGUGCCAGAAGUUCAAAAAGCAGAGACUUUUGCAGCUUGGAUUGGACAGGGGAUGUUCAUAGUGGAAGGAGCACUUAAGCUUUCGCAGCUAGUUUCAUCCUCUAGUUUUGCACCUUGUAAGAGAUCUUCAUGGUGGCAACUCAAGCUUCUGCAGUUUGUUAUGUCUUCUGUUUAGCUCUGCUGUUUAGGGCAAAUUUUCCUGAAGUUAUAUAUAUACUACGGCCUUGUGAUUUAUCAGGCAUGGGCAAGGGAUUCUUCGUCGGUUCUUGUAACAUGAGUGGCCUUAGAUGCAUGGCUUGAUUCCAGGUUGCAAUUGCAUCAAAAUGACUGUUGACUGAAAUGAAAAGAGCACCUGGUUUGUUGUAUGGUUGCUGUCCCUCAACAGAGCUUCAAAGUUGCAUCUGUCAUCUGGAUUGAUUUUAUAUUAUGAGAAUUUGCUGCAGAAGAUUCAGUGGAUUGGAAAUUGUUUAAUUUCCAAGUUCGUUCUAAGCAGAAACCAUGGGAGCAGAGCAGAUCGACGAAUCACUAAGUGAUGUACAAUGAAUUUUCAGUGGUACCAUGAAAGAUGUAAGUUACACUUGGUGUCUAGAUGAUAGAGGACCGUACGAGCGAGGACCUAAUUGGUUAACUCUUCGUGUACAUGGUGACUUGACAAAGCGAGGCGUGAGAGGAGGUUUCCGCUUUAAUGCAGCGGGUUGAGAGGGGAGAUACUAUCUCACAACGAGACCAACUCUCAUGGUUGAGCCGUUUUGAUGAGAAGCUACGCAUGAUUUACUAUUACAUGUAGACGAUCUUCGGAUGUUUCAGUUCCUCGUCCAGCACAUGUCCGCCAUGUCCCUCUCUGCAGUGUUCAGAACCACGACCCUCUGUGCACCGUCCAGAACCAUGACCCUCUGUGCACCGUUUAGAACCACGUUCUUCACAACCAGGGACCUCUUCCUGGCGUCAGCCACCUCCUUCACAACCAGGGAGCUCUUACUAGCAGCAUCAAAUGGAACUAGUCGACAACCAGUCGCAACUGUUCAUGCAUUCAGUGCAGUCACCGAUGCUUAGUGGUGCUGCUUUGUUCUUAGAGGGCGACGGCGACGCCGACGACCAAGCUGCAAACACUUAUGACUUAUCGCAGACAGUGCUUCACACUCCACGACCUCCACUGACGCAGGAAACACAGACAGUGACACGCGAGGUUAUCUAUGGUCAUGGCUAUCGUGAGGCUCGUCCACCGCGUGAGUGCUUAUCACCUUCCGGUCCUUGUCCGAGGGAGAUACAGAUUCGUCGUCGACCCCAGCAAUGAUAU
Triticum aestivum (bread wheat) is the source of this 1608-nucleotide long non-coding RNA. RefSeq lists it as uncharacterized. The record is from RefSeq and is a predicted model, not a curated record. The transcript has 6 exons. NCBI's taxonomy places the organism in Eukaryota, Viridiplantae, Streptophyta, Magnoliopsida, Poales, Poaceae.